CAGUAGCCACGGUAAUACGUAGGGUGCAAGCGUUAAUCGGAAUUACUGGGCGUAAAGCGUGCGCAGGCGGUUUGUUAAGACAGAUGUGAAAUCCCCGGGCUCAACCUGGGAACUGCAUUUGUGACUGGCAAGCUAGAGUAUGGCAGAGGGGGGUGGAAUUCCGCGUGUAGCAGUGAAAUGCGUAGAUAUGCGGAGGAACACCGAUGGCGAAGGCAGCCCCCUGGGCCAAUACUGACGCUCAUGCACGAAAGCGUGGGGAGCAAACAGGAUUAGAUACCCCCGUAGUCCCUGUCUCUUAUAC
This 301-nucleotide ribosomal RNA is filed under the name uncultured bacterium. Its description in RNAcentral is "partial 16S ribosomal RNA". It matches the Rfam family "Bacterial small subunit ribosomal RNA", at positions 509 to 807 of the family's 1533-position model. The record is from RNAcentral.